UCCUGUGUCUCACAUGUACCAAUGGUAGCUUAAGCUCAACUUUGGACAGCCCAGGGGGUCUGUCAGUUAUUUCUGAUUUGUCAUUUGCUAGCACAUGUCUGUCAUAGACCAUCCUUCUCAACACUUAAUCCUUAAGUAGGGGUGUAUACAUUCUUGAUUGUUAGACUAAGCAGGGGGGGUAGUAAAUCUAAAAUUCAUACCCAUUUAGAUCUAAUCACCAAAAAUGCAAAUAUCUCACUUAAUCAUGAAAUGGGAGGUCUGUGACCCAUGUGUGCGAUAGUGGGUAAUGAAUCAGAAUCAACUCACUGCCUUCUGGGAAGUCCUAGAGCAGAGUGUAAACUGUGAUAGGUAGAUGUAAAAUUAGGGAAAGGCACAGGAAGUGAUGCAAGAGAAGAUGUCUUUUAAGGGACUGUCACUUCCUGUGAGACACAGUUCUUCAUUUUUUAGAAGUGGAGACUGGAGAGAAUUCUUCAUGCUUUCAAGUUGAUGCUGGUGAAGAGGGGCAGAAGGAUCUGCUGACUGGACUGACGUGGUGGCCCAGUGGAGAGUUGGGAAGACCUGAAUUUAUAGACUAUGUCGGACACUGGCUAUGUGACCCUGGGAGACCCUGGACAUGAAUGGAUAACCCGAGCUUUAACCAACUGUCCCCUGGAGAAGCCUAAGGAGCCAAGGAAUGGAAGAAAUGAAGCCUCUUCCACUGUCUUCUUUGAGAAUCACAGAAUUUCCCUUAGUUAGAGCCUUGAGGGCUAGCUUGUCUGAUUCAUUGGAUAAAGGCUAGAUGAUGGAUUCCAUUGGCAAAGGGACCUCUCCUCCUCACAUUAGCAUCUUCUCUGCUAUGGACAGUCCAAGAGAGCUUCCUAAAGAAUGGAGCAGAAUACAUGACCCAACAGAAACAUUUCCUGCUUAACAGAUAACCUCAUAUAGAUGAGGGCUCUGGAAUCCCUACUGCAUGGAGUGUGCUUCCUGCAAUUGCUGUUACCCUUCUUGAAGGAGAAGACCAUUUCUAAGUCAAUGAGCUCAAGCCUUGGACUGGCUUUCUAGAAUAUGUGGACCCUGAGAAAAUUGUUUAGACAGUGCAAAGUCAAGAUGAACAUGAAAUAGCUAUUCAUAAGUCCCACUAAAUAUUUCAUGCUUUGAUAUUUUUAUUGCAUCAUGUUUUAAGUCUUCAACAAUCUG
RNAcentral lists this long non-coding RNA (1176 nucleotides) under Monodelphis domestica (gray short-tailed opossum). RNAcentral's name for it is "lncRNA (ENSMODG00000044719.1)". Lineage: Eukaryota; Metazoa; Chordata; Mammalia; Didelphimorphia; Didelphidae. The record is from RNAcentral.